UGAGUUUGAUCCUGGCUCAGGAUGAACGCUAGCGGCAGGCCUAACACAUGCAAGUCGAGGGGUAACAGGGAGCUUGCUCCGCUGACGACCGGCGCACGGGUGCGCACCGCGUAUGGAACCUACCUUGUACAGGGGAAUAGCCUUUGGAAACGAAGAUUAAUGCCCCGUGGUACCACGACCUGGCAUCGGGAUGUGGUUAAAGCCUUCGGGCGGUACAAGAUGGCCAUGCGUCCCAUUAGCUUGUUGGUAAGGUAACGGCUUACCAAGGCUACGAUGGGUAGGGGCCCUGAGAGGGGGAUCCCCCACACUGGUACUGAGACACGGACCAGACUCCUACGGGAGGCAGCAGUGAGGAAUAUUGGACAAUGGAGGAGACUCUGAUCCAGCCAUGCCGCGUGCAGGAAGAAUGCCCUAUGGGUAGUAAACUGCUUUUAUACAGGAAGAAAAAGAGCUACGUGUAGCUUACUGACGGUACUGUAAGAAUAAGGACCGGCUAACUCCGUGCCAGCAGCCGCGGUAAUACGGAGGGUCCGAGCGUUAUCCGGAAUUAUUGGGUUUAAAGGGUCCGUAGGCGGGCCGAUAAGUCAGGGGUGAAAGUUUGCAGCUCAACUGUAAAAUUGCCUUUGAUACUGUUGGUCUUGAGUUAUAGUGAAGUUGCCGGAAUAUGUAGUGUAGCGGUGAAAUGCAUAGAUAUUACAUAGAACACCGAUUGCGAAGGCAGGUGACUAACUAUAUACUGACGCUGAUGGACGAAAGCGUGGGGAGCGAACAGGAUUAGAUACCCUGGUAGUCCACGCCGUAAACGAUGGAUACUAGCUGUCCGGGUCCUUGAGACCUGGGCGGCCAAGCGAAAGUGAUAAGUAUCCCACCUGGGGAGUACGUUCGCAAGAAUGAAACUCAAAGGAAUUGACGGGGGCCCGCACAAGCGGUGGAGCAUGUGGUUUAAUUCGAUGAUACGCGAGGAACCUUACCAGGGCUUAAAUGCAUUUUGACAGGGGUAGAGAUACCUUUUCCUUCGGGCAAUUUGCAAGGUGCUGCAUGGUUGUCGUCAGCUCGUGCCGUGAGGUGUCAGGUUAAGUCCUAUAACGAGCGCAACCCCUACCGUUAGUUGCCAGCAUGUCAUGAUGGGGACUCUAACGGGACUGCCGGUGCAAACCGUGAGGAAGGUGGGGAUGACGUCAAAUCAUCACGGCCCUUACGUCCUGGGCCACACACGUGCUACAAUGGCAGGUACAGAGAGCAGCCAUGUCGCAAGGCAGAGCGAAUCUAUAAAACCUGUCACAGUUCGGAUCGGGGUCUGCAACUCGACCCCGUGAAGCUGGAAUCGCUAGUAAUCGGAUAUCAGCCAUGAUCCGGUGAAUACGUUCCCGGGCCUUGUACACACCGCCCGUCAAGCCAUGGAAGCCGGGAGUGCCUGAAGUCCGUCACCGUAAGGAGCGGCCUAGGGCAAGAUCGGUAACUAGGGCUAAGUCGUAACAAGGUAGCCGUACCGGAGGUGCGGCUGGAUCACCUCCUUUCUA
RNAcentral lists this ribosomal RNA (1520 nucleotides) under Maribacter orientalis. RNAcentral's name for it is "bacterial SSU rRNA". It matches the Rfam family "Bacterial small subunit ribosomal RNA". Lineage: Bacteria; Pseudomonadati; Bacteroidota; Flavobacteriia; Flavobacteriales; Flavobacteriaceae. The record is from RNAcentral.